Molecule: ribosomal RNA, 417 nt
Filed under: uncultured bacterium
Lineage: Bacteria
Description: bacterial SSU rRNA
Rfam family: Bacterial small subunit ribosomal RNA
Source: RNAcentral
UCGGGAAUAUUGCGCAAUGGAGGAAACUCUGACGCAGUGACGCCGCGUGCAGGAAGAAGGUUUUCGGAUUGUAAACUGCUUUAGACAGGGAAGAAAAAAUGACAGUACCUGUAGAAUAAGCUCCGGCUAACUACGUGCCAGCAGCCGCGGUAAUACGUAGGGAGCAAGCGUUAUCCGGAUUUAUUGGGUGUAAAGGGUGCGUAGACGGGAAAACAAGUUAGUUGUGAAAUCCCUCGGCUUAACUGAGGAACUGCAACUAAAACUAUUUUUCUUGAGUGCUGGAGAGGAAAGUGGAAUUCCUAGUGUAGCGGUGAAAUGCGUAGAUAUUAGGAGGAACACCAGUGGCGAAGGCGACUUUCUGGACAGUAACUGACGUUGAGGCACGAAAGUGUGGGGAGCAAACAGGAUUAGAUACCC